Molecule: long non-coding RNA, 1004 nt
Filed under: Amazona collaria (yellow-billed parrot)
Lineage: Eukaryota; Metazoa; Chordata; Aves; Psittaciformes; Psittacidae
Description: lncRNA (ENSACOG00000005150.1)
Source: RNAcentral
AUUCCAUAUUCUAUUACUGGAUUUGUAGCCUUUCAGUUUGCAAACCUAAAUGGGAAAUCUGAGAUCAAGCAUGUUUCCAAGUGAUUUGUGUUUCUAAGGUAGAUUCUGAUAUGGAUCAUCUUGCUGUGUUUGUUUCAAAGUCUGCUAGUCACAGAAAAGUUGUGGAGUGGAAGACAUUUGUAAGUAGGCUUUCUAAUACUUCUAUUGUGAUGUUUUAACACUAAAAGGCAGUUGUUCUUUCUUAUUUGAAAGCUUUUGGCAUUGGUACCCUUCAUUAAAAGUAAGGGUAGCUGGGUGGUAAUGGUCAGUUUGUUUAGAAAUUGAUUAUUUUCACUUUUGCCUUGCUAGAUACUGUAAAGCUCUUCCUGAAAGCAACAGAAACAGAGAAUAUGGGUACUCUGUCGCAAUCAACUUCCAUUCUGAUGAACUAGUCACCCACAGAGGGUUUUACAUUGAAUACAAAGCCUUCAGUCACAUAGACCGUUGUAAUCCAGCACAGCGGAACUGUGGUGAUGGGAAGUGUAAGCACCAGUAUAAGACUUGUAAAGAUGAUGACAGCUGUGAGGAGGACAGUGAUGAAAACAACUGCUGUAAGUAUAUUUUUUUAGCUAUUUUCCAGAAGAUGGUGGAAAGCAGAAGCAGGACUAUGCUUAUUUUAAUGGAUAAAUGUAGUAUCUCUAUGUAUCUUUUUCACAGCACAAAGUACAAGUUUCAUUAUAGUGGGAAAAAAAACCCCAAGCAGAGUAUAACUUGUUCUUAGGAAAGCCUAGACAAGAAAUUAAUAAAGCAAAACCUAAGCUAACAGUGAUUUUAGUUAUAUGACCUAACUACAGCUUGCUGGUGAUUCUGUUAGAAGAGCACUUUAUCCAAACAACACCGAGAUCAAUACCAAAUAACAUAAGGGAGAGAGAUAUCAUAGCUUUUGACUUCUGCCCUUUGGCACAUGUAUGGUCUCCUUUUACUGUAGAUCCACAGUGGUUACAGACAUUGCUGGUGCUACUAAU